CCUGGCGGCUUUAGCGCGGUGGUCCCACCUGACCCCAUGCCGAACUCAGAAGUGAAACGCCGUAGCGCCGAUGGUAGUGUGGGGUCUCCCCAUGCGAGAGUAGGAAACUGCCAGGC
Molecule: ribosomal RNA, 116 nt
Filed under: Erwinia pyrifoliae
Lineage: Bacteria; Pseudomonadati; Pseudomonadota; Gammaproteobacteria; Enterobacterales; Erwiniaceae
Source: RNAcentral